GUGUUGUAUGAAAGGAGAGAAGGCUAAGGCUAGCACUCCCCCAGACAAGAAUGGAAGAGGCCCUCGGGCCUGACAACACACAAGAUUAUUAAGGCAUUGACACCUACUUCCAAGGACAUUUUAUUAAGUACCUUCU
Molecule: small nuclear RNA, 136 nt
Organism: Mandrillus leucophaeus (drill)
Lineage: Eukaryota; Metazoa; Chordata; Mammalia; Primates; Cercopithecidae
Source: Ensembl